This 274-nucleotide ribosomal RNA is filed under the name uncultured bacterium. RNAcentral describes it as "partial 16S ribosomal RNA". It matches the Rfam family "Bacterial small subunit ribosomal RNA", at positions 15 to 273 of the family's 1533-position model. The record is from RNAcentral.
GAUCCUGGCUCAGGAUGAACGCUAGCGGCAGGCUUAACACAUGCAAGUCGAGGGGCAGCGCGGGGCGGCAACGUCCUGGCGGCGACCGGCGGAAGGGUGCGUAACGCGUGAGCGACAUGCCCGUUGCCCGGGGACAACCGGUGGAAACGCCGACUAAUCCCCGAUGGGACGGAGGCCCUCAUGGGUCUCUGUUGAAAGUUACGGCGGCGACGGAGUUGGUCGUCGCGUCCGACUUAGUCCACGUUGGUCGGGGUAACGGGACCCGACCCAACGG